RNAcentral lists this ribosomal RNA (528 nucleotides) under Urophorus foveicollis. RNAcentral's name for it is "partial large subunit ribosomal RNA". It matches the Rfam family "Archaeal large subunit ribosomal RNA", at positions 1895 to 2671 of the family's 2987-position model. The record is from RNAcentral. Lineage: Eukaryota; Metazoa; Arthropoda; Insecta; Coleoptera; Nitidulidae.
UUUAUCAAAAACAUGGCCUUUUGAUACUAUUUAAGGUCUGGCCUGCUCAAUGAUUUUUUAAAUAGCCGCGGUAUUUUGACCGUGCAAAGGUAGCAUAAUCAUUAGUUUUUUAAUUGAAAGCUGGUAUGAAGGGUUAGAUGAGAAAAAUUCUGUCUCUUGGAAAUUUUAUUAGAAUUUUAUUUUUAAGUAAAAAAGCUUAAAUAAUAUUUAAAGACGAGAAGACCCUUUAGAGUUUUAUAGAAAAUGGGAUAAUUUUAUGGGUUAGUAUGAAUAAUUUAAUUUUUUUAUUUUUAUUUAAUUGGGGUGAUUGAAAAAUUUCAUAAACUUUUUCUAAUUUAGUACAUUAAUUUAUGAAUAAUUGAUCCAUAUUUAGUGAUUAUAAGAAUAAAUUACCUAAGGGAUAACAGCGUUAUUUUUCUUGAGAGUUCUAAUCGAAAGAAAAGAUUGCGACCUCGAUGUUGGAUUAAAAUUAAAUUAUGGUGCAGUAGUUAUAUGUUUAGGUCUGUUCGACCUUUAAAAUUUUACAUG